UUAAUUAAAACCAAAAUAGAGGUAUACUACUGUUAAUAGUAUAAUUGUUAUAAAAUAAAUAGCUAAUUAAA
This 71-nucleotide transfer RNA is filed under the name Pealius mori. Its description in RNAcentral is "tRNA-Asn". Lineage: Eukaryota; Metazoa; Arthropoda; Insecta; Hemiptera; Aleyrodidae. The record is from RNAcentral.